RNAcentral lists this ribosomal RNA (465 nucleotides) under uncultured bacterium. RNAcentral describes it as "partial 16S ribosomal RNA". It matches the Rfam family "Bacterial small subunit ribosomal RNA", at positions 28 to 507 of the family's 1533-position model. The record is from RNAcentral.
GACGAACGCUGGCGGCGUGCUUAACACAUGCAAGUCGAACGGAAAGGCCCUUCUGGCGGUGUACGCGAGUGGCAAACGGGUGUGUAACACGUGGGAGAUCCGCACUACACUUCGGGAUAAGCCUGGGAAACGUGGUCUAAUAGCAUAUAUGCUCCUGCUGUAUGGUGGGGGUUGGAAAGUUUUGUCGGUGUGGGAUGAACUCGCGGCCUAUCAGCUUGUUGGUGGGGUAAUGGCCUACCAAGGCGGCGACGGGUAGCCGGCCUGAGAGGGUGGACGGCCACAUUGGGACUGAGAUACGGCCCAGACUCCUACGGGAGGCAGCAGUGGGGAAUAUUGCACAAUGGGCGCAAGCCUGAUGCAGCAACGCCGCGUGCGGGAUGACGGCCUUCGGGUUGUAAACCGCUUUCGCCAGGGACGAAGCUUUUUGUGACGGUACCUAGAGAAGAAGCACCGGCUAACUACGUG